Molecule: non-coding RNA, 797 nt
Filed under: Gonopsimorpha nigrosignata
Lineage: Eukaryota; Metazoa; Arthropoda; Insecta; Hemiptera; Pentatomidae
Source: RNAcentral
CUAAUUAUAAUGAAAAUUUGAUUCUAUUUUAUGGGAAUAAUUUUUUAUUAAUUAUAACAUGUAAAUUUUUGUUUGUUAGGAAAAUUUAUUUAAAUAAUAAAUUUUAGUUUUAUGCGCAGUUUAUGGUUUUAUAAAUUUAGUUAUUUAAGAUAUAGUUAUUUAUUAAAUGGUUAGCAAAAGUUGUGCCAGCAGCUGCGGUUAUACAUCUAACCAAAGUUAUUUAUUUUAAAUAUUUAAUUAAAUUUAAAUUGUAUUGAUAUUAUGAUAGUUAUUUUAAGGUAAAAUUUAAAUAACUAAAAUUUGUGUUUGGUUACUUUUAUUAUGAGAAAUUUCAUUUUGAGACUAGGAUUAGAUACCCUAUUAUUAUGAAGUGUAAAAUUUUGUUUUCAGUAUUAUAAGUUAUGAUCUUUAAAUUGAAAGAAUUUGACGGUAAUUUAAUCAUUUUAGAGGAACCUGUUCUGUAAUUGAUGUUCCACGAUAAAUUUUACCCUUAUUAAUAGCUUGUAUAUCUCUGUUUGAUUGAAUGUUUUAUAAGAAUUUAUUUUCUUUUAUUUUUUUUGAAGUUUAUGUCAGGUCAAGGUGCAGUUAUAUAAGGGUUUGAAAUGGGUUACAUUUACUUUAAGUAAUGAAUUGAUUUUUUUGUUAAUUUCAUGAAAUUGGAUUUAAUUGUAAUAUACAAUAUAUUUUGUAUAUGAUACAUGUCCUUGAUUAAGUACAUAUCGCCCGUCACUCUCAUUAAAAUAAUGGGAUAAGUCGUAACAAAGUAGUUUUAUCGGAAGAUGAGGCUGGAAUUAUUA